This is a long non-coding RNA of Cyprinus carpio (common carp), 1808 nucleotides long. Lineage: Eukaryota; Metazoa; Chordata; Actinopteri; Cypriniformes; Cyprinidae. The record is from Ensembl.
AUGGUGAAAGAGUGUAACCCCAAUUCACUUCCUCUGCCUGCUGAGGAUGUCCUGAGCUGUUUUUUUUUGUAUGUGUGUGUGUGUUCGCUCCCAGUUUCACUGAACGACAGCAGCAGUCAUGUGCACCACCAUCAUGGUCCUGAGCACCAUUGCUCUCCUGCUGCGACAGAUGUUCAUCAACCGUGUCAAGCCACAGCCAGAUGUGAAUGGGACAAAGGAAAAGCCGCAUGAGAACGAUGCAACACCUUCAGAAAAAUAAUGAUAAGAGACAUCAUUCAUCCAGCUGAGACUGUGAGCACAGAAAGAAACUCAGUACAGCCAGGGAGGAUCUUCUCAGGGACACUUUCACAAAGUAAACGUUCAUCCUGAAAUAUUUAAGAGCAUUGUCAGAUUGAAUACAAGGCAACAAGCAUGCAGCGCACACAAAAGAGAAAAUUCAAAGAGAGGAAAAGGGUUUUGUGCGACUCCACUGGACGACUGCAUUUCCAGCACAGCGAGGAUGGUUUGAACUGGACACAGGAGGAAUUAUAACAUCUGUGGAAAUGUGCUUUCAGGACUGGAUGCCAUGAACUUGCCUGCUCCAUUUUAGAGCUGUAAGUGCUGUCCACGGCUGAACAUGGAUGCAGCGCCCUGUAAAUCAUUCAUACACAACAACCGGCCAUCAGCUGCUUGCAGGACUGGACCAACAGAGACCUUCAUCAUCACCAACACCAUCUUCAUCCAGAUAUGUUAUUAACUGACACGAGAGAAGGAAAAAGUAUGUCACUGAAAGAGUUUUAAAUGAGUUACAGAGGCUCGUCUGAUGAGCUCCUCGCUGGAGGAGGCAGUUAAGUGCAUGAAACAUUAAUGCCUUCACAUGUCAGCUCUUUCUGUGGAUGUGAGUGUGUGUUUACCUCGCUUCAGUGAUCACACACACACACACGUACACACACACCUGCUCCACCUCAGUCCGUUCUUCAGCUCAGUGCACUAGUUUCCUGGAAUGGUCAAUCCAAAUUAAUUGUUUCUUAUAGUCCAUUUAAUUAAUUUCAUUAAUGAGACCUCUUUAAUAUCUCAAUAGUUUCUCUUAGCAAUGACAUUAAAUGAAGAUCAAUCAUCAUUUAAUCAAACUUAAUUUCUCCUUAUUUUCUCCUUAUUUUUCUCCUGGGGCCCUCAGUAAUCCACUAAAGGCCAUCUUCACCACAUAAAAAAAAUGCUUUGGUAAAUAAUAAUUAUAACAAGUCAUAAUUAUGAGAUAAAAUGUAAACAUUAUGAAAUAUGAAACCAUAAUUAUAUCAGUUGUGAGCUAAAAACUGAUGGUUAAAAUUAAGAGAUAUUAAGCCAUAGUAAUGAGACCAGAAGUCAUAAUUAUCACAGCCAAAAUUAUGAGAUAAAACUUGAAAUGACAGUCAAAAAUAUGAGAUAUGUCACAAUUAUGAGACAUAAAGUCAAAAUUGUAAUUCAAAAUUGUGAUAAAAACUUCAAACUAUGACAAUCAAAAUUAUGAGAUAAAAUUAUGAGUCACAAUUAAUAGAUAACAACUGAAACUAUUAGAUAAGUCACAAUUAUGAUACAAAAGUCAUAAUUAUGAGACAGAAAACCAAAAUGAUGUAAUUCAAAAUUGAGAUAAAAACUAUAAACUAUGACUAUCAAAAUUAUGAGAUAAAAACCUGAAAUUAUGAGUCACAAUUAAUAGAUAACUAAAACUAAGGUAAGUCACAAUUAUGAGACAAAAAUUCAUAAUUAUGAGAUUUUAAAUUACGAGAUGUAACAAUUAUGAGGUAAAAAAUCUAAAUAAAAUACUAAGCCAUAAUUAGGAGAAAAAAGUC